AUUGAACGCUGGCGGCAGGCCUAACACAUGCAAGUCGAACGGUAACAGGAAGCAGCUUGCUGCUUCGCUGACGAGUGGCGGACGGGUGAGUAAUGUCUGGGAAACUGCCUGAUGGAGGGGGAUAACUACUGGAAACGGUAGCUAAUACCGCAUAACGUCGCAAGACCAAAGAGGGGGACCUUAGGGCCUCUUGCCAUCGGAUGUGCCCAGAUGGGAUUAGCUAGUAGGUGGGGUAACGGCUCACCUAGGCGACGAUCCCUAGCUGGUCUGAGAGGAUGACCAGCCACACUGGAACUGAGACACGGUCCAGACUCCUACGGGAGGCAGCAGUGGGGAAUAUUGCACAAUGGGCCCAAACCUGAUGCAGCCAUGCCGCGUGUAUGAAGAAGGCCUUCGGGUUGUAAAGUACUUUCAGCGGGGAGGAAGGGAGUAAAGUUAAUACCUUUGCUCAUUGACGUUACCCGCAGAAGAAGCACCGGCUAACUCCGUG
RNAcentral lists this ribosomal RNA (490 nucleotides) under uncultured bacterium. Its description in RNAcentral is "partial 16S ribosomal RNA". It matches the Rfam family "Bacterial small subunit ribosomal RNA", at positions 30 to 507 of the family's 1533-position model. The record is from RNAcentral.